AUUGAACGCUGGCGGCAGGCCUAACACAUGCAAGUCGAGCGGAUGAAGGGAGCUUGCUCCUGGAUUCAGCGGCGGACGGGUGAGUAAUGCCUAGGAAUCUGCCUGGUAGUGGGGGAUAACGUCCGGAAACGGGCGCUAAUACCGCAUACGUCCUGAGGGAGAAAGUGGGGGAUCUUCGGACCUCACGCUAUCAGAUGAGCCUAGGUCGGAUUAGCUAGUUGGUGGGGUAAAGGCCUACCAAGGCGACGAUCCGUAACUGGUCUGAGAGGAUGAUCAGUCACACUGGAACUGAGACACGGUCCAGACUCCUACGGGAGGCAGCAGUGGGGAAUAUUGGGCAAUGGGCGAAAGCCUGAUCCAGCCAUGCCGCGUGUGUGAAGAAGGUCUUCGGAUUGUAAAGCACCUUAAGUUGGGAGGAAGGGCAGUAAGUUAAUACCUUGCUGUUUUGACGUUACCAACAGAAUAAGCACCGGCUAACUUCGUG
This 484-nucleotide ribosomal RNA is filed under the name uncultured bacterium. RNAcentral's name for it is "partial 16S ribosomal RNA". It matches the Rfam family "Bacterial small subunit ribosomal RNA", at positions 30 to 507 of the family's 1533-position model. The record is from RNAcentral.